This 254-nucleotide ribosomal RNA is filed under the name uncultured bacterium. Its description in RNAcentral is "partial 16S ribosomal RNA". It matches the Rfam family "Bacterial small subunit ribosomal RNA", at positions 524 to 776 of the family's 1533-position model. The record is from RNAcentral.
UACGUAGGGGGCAAGCGUUGUCCGGAUUUAUUGGGCGUAAAGAGCUCGUAGGCGGUGUGUCGCGUCGGCCGUGAAAACCUGCAGCUUAACUGUGGGCUUGCGGUCGAUACGGGCAUCACUGGAGUUCGGCAGGGGAGACUGGAAUUCCUGGUGUAGCGGUGAAAUGCGCAGAUAUCAGGAGGAACACCGGUGGCGAAGGCGGGUCUCUGGGCCGAUACUGACGCUGAUGCGCGAAAGCGUGGGGAGCGAACAGG